UACGGAGGGUGCAAGCGUUGUCCGGAAUCACUGGGCGUAAAGGGCGCGUAGGCGGCUCAUGAAGGCUGUGGUGAAAGCCCGGAGCUCAACUCCGGAACUGCCAUUGAAACUGUUUAGCUUGAGGAUGAGAGAGGUGAGUGGAAUUCCCAGUGUAGAGGUGAAAUUCGUAGAUAUUGGGAAGAACACCGGUGGCGAAGGCGGUCUGCUGGGCAGUAGCUGACACUGAGGCGCGACAGCGUGGGGAGCAAACAGG
This 253-nucleotide ribosomal RNA is filed under the name uncultured bacterium. RNAcentral describes it as "partial 16S ribosomal RNA". It matches the Rfam family "Bacterial small subunit ribosomal RNA", at positions 524 to 776 of the family's 1533-position model. The record is from RNAcentral.